CCUACGGGAGGCAGCAGUGAGGAAUAUUGGUCAAUGGACGAGAGUCUGAACCAGCCAAGUAGCGUGAAGGAUGACUGCCCUAUGGGUUGUAAACUUCUUUUAUAUGGGAAUAAAAUGUUCCACGUGUGGGAUUUUGUAUGUACCGUAUGAAUAAGGAUCGGCUAACUCCGUGCCAGCAGCCGCGGUAAUACGGAGGAUCCGAGCGUUAUCCGGAUUUAUUGGGUUUAAAGGGAGCGUAGGUGGAUUGUUAAGUCAGUUGUGAAAGUUUGCGGCUCAACCGUAAAAUUGCAGUUGAAACUGGCAGUCGUGAGUACAGUAGAGGUGGGCGGAAUUCGUGGUGUAGCGGUGAAAUGCUUAGAUAUCACGAAGAACUCCGAUUGCGAAGGCAGCUCACUGGACUGCAACUGACACUGAGGCUCGAAAGUGUGGGUAUCAAACAGGAUUAGAUACCCCUGUAGUC
RNAcentral lists this ribosomal RNA (460 nucleotides) under uncultured bacterium. Its description in RNAcentral is "partial 16S ribosomal RNA". It matches the Rfam family "Bacterial small subunit ribosomal RNA", at positions 338 to 795 of the family's 1533-position model. The record is from RNAcentral.